GAGUUUGAUUCUGGCUCAGAACGAACGCUGGCGGCGCGUCUUAAGCAUGCAAGUCGAACGGUAAGGGAGAGCUUGCUCUCCCCUAGAGUGGCGGACUGGUGAGUAACGCGUAGGUGACCUACCCUGAAGAUGGGGAUAGCUAGUAGAAAUAUUAGAUAAUACCGAAUAAGCUCAUUUGCAUAAAGGCAGAUGAGGAAAGGAGCUACGGCUCCGCUUUAGGAUGGGCCUGCGUCCCAUUAGCUAAGUUGGUGAGGUAAAGGCUUACCAAGGCAACGAUGGGUAUCCGGCCUGAGAGGGUGAACGGACACAUUGGGACUGAGAUACGGCCCAAACUCCUACGGGAGGCAGCAGCUAAGAAUCUUCCGCAAUGGACGAAAGUCUGACGGAGCGACGCCGUGUGAAUGAAGAAGGCUGAAAAGUUGUAAAAUUCUUUUGCAGAUGAAGAAUAAGGAUAGGAGGGAAUGCCUAUCUGAUGACGGUAGUCAUGCGAAUAAGCCCCG
Molecule: ribosomal RNA, 500 nt
Filed under: Treponema sp. canine oral taxon 207
Lineage: Bacteria; Pseudomonadati; Spirochaetota; Spirochaetia; Treponematales; Treponemataceae
Description: bacterial SSU rRNA
Rfam family: Bacterial small subunit ribosomal RNA
Source: RNAcentral